Molecule: long non-coding RNA, 2869 nt
Filed under: Salmo salar (Atlantic salmon)
Lineage: Eukaryota; Metazoa; Chordata; Actinopteri; Salmoniformes; Salmonidae
Description: lncRNA (ENSSSAG00000096668.1)
Source: RNAcentral
UUUUAUUAUUAUGAAGAGGUUUUAGUAUGAAUCAAGGUGUGAGCCCAGGUUUAAGAGAAUAAACAGUGUGUACCUGACAGAUGAAACUCAUAACACUUUUAUGACACCAGUCAUAGCACCUUUGAGUGUUUCAAUAUCAUUCAUAACAACCUUCAUAACGCAUUUAUUCAACAUCAUUCAUAAGGUAUCCUCCUCCAGUAAAGUGUUACGUGUCACCUAUUUAGGGUAGUUUGUAGACACGUGUAUCUUAGAACAGCAUUAAAUGAUGAAUGAUUGACUCUACUUUAAGUUUCCAAACUUUUUAUAUACUGUAUCACUUGUUUAUAUAUGAGCAGUCUAAGAUGUCCCAGUAGUGUUUUUAUGUUCCUCUCCUGUUGAGAGGAACUGAAGUCUUGUUCUUUGGGCAGAAUUAAGAGCUGUUGUAUCAGAUUAUAGGGUGUCAGGUGGUUGUGGUUUGUCAUGUCAGAGCGCUUCCUGAUCAGGUUUUGCAACAUCUCCUGGCAAUGUCUCUCUGCCCCUUGUGUUUUCUCUCAUUUCAUGACAUGUCUGUGGUGGAGGAUUCGUCUAAGGUUAGCUAAACCAUACACAGAUAUCUGUGAAGUUAUGGGAGGGUAACCCAGAUGGUCACUUUUAGUAUGCUCAUACUAAAAUACCUCUGUGCAUGAAUCCUUACGAAGAAACAGGGAAACAUUUUAAGGACAUUUCCCAGCCCAACAUUGACAUAAGAUGUUUGUCAUGUGGAAUUUUUGUUAAGGAUGGGGUUAUCCGUGCCAAAGAUGACAACUGGCAAGACCCCAUUCUGUCCUUAGGCCAAUCUGGACUUAGUUUAUUGUUGGGGUAGAUUUACAGCUAACCAAGAAUCACUUUUAUAGCUCAUAUCUUGAUGAUCUUGGGCUCCCAAGUGGCGCAGCGGUCUAACGCACUGCAUCUCAGAUCUUGAGGUGUCACUCCAGGAUGUCUCACAACCAGCCGUGAUUGGGAGUCCCAUAGGGCGCGCACAAUUGGCCCAGCGUCGUCCGGGUUUUGGCCAUCAUUGUAAAUAAGAAUUUGUUCUUAACUGACUUGCCUAGUUAAAUAAAAAAAAUGAUGCCCAGUACGCUUUCUUUUUCCAGUAACAGGUACCAGACAGUAGUUAACAGUAACAGGUACCAGACAGUAGUUAACAGUAGCAGGUACCAGACAGUAGCUAACAGUAACAGGUACCAGACAGUAGCUAACGGUAACAGGUACCAGACAGUAGCAGGUACCAGACAGUAGCUAACGGUAACAGGUACCAGACAGUACCAGACAGUAGCAGGUACCAGACAGUAGCUUACAGUAACAGGUACCAGACAGUAGCUAACAAGUCUAAAAAGAAAAAGCUAAAAAGAUGUAUACAUUUACAUACAUGGUUCUAAUAAAACCAUGGAAAAACCAUAACAGGCCAUAAAUAAACUAGAAAACAAUGUUUGAGUCCGGAGAGAUAAGCAGCUUUCACAAAAUCCUGAUGAAAAAGCAGUGAUAGAGAGAUGGUAAAAAAAAAACAGCUCGAUUAUGAAGGGGAACAUGCUGCCCUACAUUAAUGGCUCACCAGGCCAAAGGCUGCCAUGGCAGAGGGUGGAAAUUAUCUAAGGGCAGUUUUUGUAUUUCACCCGCUAAUGUCAAGAUUGGGGAGAGUGCACUGAUCCUCGAUCUGUGUCUUGGUAACGGAGUAACAUUGGUGGGGAUGCCAUCAGGGUCGUAUUUAUUAGGGCCCACUGUAGCGAAACAUUUUGCAACGGAAAACGAAAAUGAGCAUGUGUUAUUGGACUAGUUUAGGUAGUCAUUCCUCUUUUCUGUCCCUCUUCUUCACUUGGUGCCUAAAGAAUAAUAUCCUUUAAGGACAAAGAGGGGCUCAGUUCAGUAUACUCCAGACAGAGUGGCAGACUGCAGUCACAACACUGGCAAACUGUCAACUCAGGCACUGACUAGCCCCACUUCUACCCCAACUCAUUACAUGCACUAGCCCGACACGUGCAUCUUGCCGUCUCUUCAGCUCCACUACACUGCUGCUAGCAGUGGAGGCUGCUGAGGGGAGAAUGGCUCAUAAUAAUGGACGGAAUUGAGCAAAUUGAAUGGCAUCAAACACCUGGAAACUGUGUGUUUGAUACAAUUUCACUGAUUCCGCUCCAGUCAUUACCACAAAGCUAUUCUCCCCAAUUACGAUGCCAUCAACGUGCUGUGGAUGCUAGAGAGUGACCAGAUGGGGUGAGGGUGCAUAUUUGUGAAAAUAAAAAGGUCCUAUAAAACAUUUAUAGAAUAAACUCCUUUUGAGUGGUAUUCAUUUUGCAAGCCUUUUCACUGUCCCAGUAGCUAUUAGUUAACUUCAUCCAUUUGUUUUAGCCAGGUUACAAUUUUGAAAUAACAAAAACUCAGGACUAGAAUCAACGAUCACAGAUACAGAUGACUAGCAAUACAACAAAUCAUUUAGUAGGGAAAGGGACAGGCCAACCCACUCAGGCACCACAAAGCAUUUGCAGAAAACACACACCCUUUCCUCCAUCCCAUCUUUUGAGGUGGUGUAUAUGGUGCUUACACACAUUGGUGCCAAAGAGGCUGGGCUAACAGAGGAAGACCGAUACUUCAUGAGCUAGACAGGCCCAUUUGACAUAUUUAUCAUUUAGCAGACGUGCUUAACCAGAGUGACUUACAAUUAGAGCCGGCCUAGAGACACCCUUGUGGAUUAUUCAGUGUUGGCAGUACAAACCAAAUUCCCCCAAAACUCUCUCCAUACUUCUCAUUCAAACUCCACUGCUCUGUUUGGGCAGAGUCUUUCACACAACUACAACAGUGAACAAACUUUUGACGUUGCAUACACAAAAUCUAUACCAUUCACACACAUGUCAAUGUC